RNAcentral lists this ribosomal RNA (492 nucleotides) under uncultured bacterium. Its description in RNAcentral is "partial 16S ribosomal RNA". It matches the Rfam family "Bacterial small subunit ribosomal RNA", at positions 29 to 507 of the family's 1533-position model. The record is from RNAcentral.
AGUGAACGCUGGCGGUAGGCCUAACACAUGCAAGUCGAACGGCAGCACAGUAAGAGCUUGCUCUUACGGGUGGCGAGUGGCGGACGGGUGAGGAAUACAUCGGAAUCUACUUUUUCGUGGGGGAUAACGUAGGGAAACUUACGCUAAUACCGCAUACGACCUACGGGUGAAAGCAGGGGAUCUUCGGACCUUGCGCGAUUGAAUGAGCCGAUGUCGGAUUAGCUAGUUGGCGGGGUAAAGGCCCACCAAGGCGACGAUCCGUAGCUGGUCUGAGAGGAUGAUCAGCCACACUGGAACUGAGACACGGUCCAGACUCCUACGGGAGGCAGCAGUGGGGAAUAUUGGACAAUGGGCGCAAGCCUGAUCCAGCCAUACCGCGUGGGUGAAGAAGGCCUUCGGGUUGUAAAGCCCUUUUGUUGGGAAAGAAAAGCAGCAGGUUAAUACCCCGCUGUUCUGACGGUACCCAAAGAAUAGGCACCGGCUAACUUCGCG